AAGAGAGAGAGAGAGAAAGAGCAUUUUACCUUUCCAAAAUAAAUUCUUCUGGGCUAUUUCAAACCCAAAAGAAAAUGCACUAUUGAUAUAGUGAUAGGCUAAGGCAGUACCGGUUCUACUCCGGUAUGGCUAUGAAUUAACAAAGUCCGUCGGGAAGAACAAUACUGCCUACCAAUACCUUGGAAAGGCCGGCACCCUCACCUUCAGUAAACUUCAU
RNAcentral lists this long non-coding RNA (217 nucleotides) under Mytilus galloprovincialis (Mediterranean mussel). Lineage: Eukaryota; Metazoa; Mollusca; Bivalvia; Mytilida; Mytilidae. The record is from RNAcentral.